This 354-nucleotide long non-coding RNA is filed under the name Lupinus angustifolius (narrow-leaved blue lupine). RNAcentral's name for it is "long non-coding RNA (LANG_LNC000976)". The record is from RNAcentral. Lineage: Eukaryota; Viridiplantae; Streptophyta; Magnoliopsida; Fabales; Fabaceae.
GGGUGCCAUGGAUGUGGAAUGAAAGAAGAGCCAGGGGAUGAUAAGAGCAAUGAAUCAGCAAGAAAAAGAGAUGGAUAAUUGGGAAACUUUGACAGACCCACUAAGUCACCAUUUCAUUCAGCACCCCACCAUCACCUUCAUGGCUUGCCUCUACCGCUACCUCAAUUCAUGCUUGUGGUCCUUCCUCUGCAAUCUAAUUCUAUAAUUAUGUCUCUUGUCUUCUUCUUGUUUUUUUCGUUUCCUAUUACCUAUUACUUUAUUAUUCCGUGUCAGAACUGAAAUAGAAACUUCAACUCUGCCAAACAAGUUUCAGGUGCUGCGUAUUUCAUGGAUAUCAUACAUACUCUAUCUCUG